AGUUGAUAUAAACAUAUGAAAUUUAAACACAAGAUUUAUGACAACAAAAGGAAGGUUAGGAUUGAUUUUGGAAGUUUUGGUCCCUACAGUUUAAGAAUUAAGGGCCAAAAAAAGGUUCAAUAAGUUUUUUUCUUGGUUUUUCGCACAAUAACUGUAGUAUUAGUAAAUAGAAAUCUAUGUAAUUUAAACACAAGGUUUAUGACCACAAAAAGAAGGUUAGGAUUGAUUUUGGGAGUUUUGGUUUUAACAGUUUAGGAAUUGGGGGCCAAAAGGGUCCAAAAUUAAACUUUGUUUGAUUUCAUCAAAAAUUGAACCAUGGGGG
Molecule: long non-coding RNA, 322 nt
Filed under: Mytilus galloprovincialis (Mediterranean mussel)
Lineage: Eukaryota; Metazoa; Mollusca; Bivalvia; Mytilida; Mytilidae
Source: RNAcentral